GACGAACCGUGCGAACGUUAUUCGGAAUCACUGGGCUUAAAGGGCGCGUAGGCGGGCCACCAAGUCCGGGGUGAAAUCCUCCAGCUCAACUGGAGAACUGCCUCGGAUACUGGAGGUCUCGAGGGAGAUAGGGGCACGCGGAACCGUGGGUGGAGCGGUGAAAUGCGUUGAUAUCCAUGGGAACUCCGGUGGCGAAGGCGGCGUGCUGGAUCUCUUCUGACGCUGAGGCGCGAAAGCCAGGGGAUCAAACGGG
This 253-nucleotide ribosomal RNA is filed under the name uncultured bacterium. RNAcentral describes it as "partial 16S ribosomal RNA". It matches the Rfam family "Bacterial small subunit ribosomal RNA", at positions 524 to 776 of the family's 1533-position model. The record is from RNAcentral.